Molecule: ribosomal RNA, 253 nt
Filed under: uncultured bacterium
Lineage: Bacteria
Description: partial 16S ribosomal RNA
Rfam family: Bacterial small subunit ribosomal RNA
Source: RNAcentral
UACGGAGGAUCCGAGCGUUAUCCGGAUUUAUUGGGUUUAAAGGGUGCGUAGGCGGCCUGUUAAGUCAGGGGUGAAAGACGGUAGCUCAACUAUCGCAGUGCCUUUGAUACUGAUGGGCUUGAAUACACUUGAGGUAGGCGGAAUGUGACGAGUAGAGGUGAAAUGCGUAGAUAUGUCGCAGAACCCCGAUUGCGAAGGCAGCUUACUAGAGUGUGAUUGACGCUGAGGCACGAAAGCGUGGGGAUCAAACAGG